This 440-nucleotide ribosomal RNA is filed under the name uncultured bacterium. RNAcentral's name for it is "partial 16S ribosomal RNA". It matches the Rfam family "Bacterial small subunit ribosomal RNA", at positions 338 to 795 of the family's 1533-position model. The record is from RNAcentral.
CCUACGGGUGGCAGCAGUGGGGAAUCUUGCACAAUGGGGGAAACCCUGAUGCAGCAACGCCGCGUGAGUGAAGAAGUAUUUCGGUAUGUAAAACUCUAUCAGCAGGGAAGAAAAUGACGGUACCUGAUUAAGAAGCCCCGGCUAACUACGUACCAGCAGCCCAGGUAAUACGUAGGGGGCAAGCGUUCUCCGGAUUUACUGGGUGUAAAGGGAGCGUAGGCGGCAGAACACGUCUGGAGUGAAAUCCCGGGGCUUAACCCCGGAGCUGCUUGGGAGACUGUGCAGCUAGAGUGCAGGAGAGGUGAGUGGAAUUCCUAGUGUAGCGGUGAAAUGCGUAGAUAUGAGGAGGAACACCAGUGGCGAAGGCGGCUUACUGGACUGUAACGGACGUUGAGGCUCGAAAGCGUGGGGAGCAAACAGGAUUAGAUACCCUAGUAGUC